GAUGAACGCUGGCGGCGUGCCUAAUACAUGCAAGUCGAGCGAACGGACGAGAAGCUUGCUUCUCUGAUGUUAGCGGCGGACGGGUGAGUAACACGUGGAUAACCUACCUAUAAGACUGGGAUAACUUCGGGAAACCGGAGCUAAUACCGGAUAAUAUUUUGAACCGCAUGGUUCAAAAGUGAAAGACGGUCUUGCUGUCACUUAUAGAUGGAUCCGCGCUGCAUUAGCUAGUUGGUAAGGUAACGGCUUACCAAGGCAACGAUGCAUAGCCGACCUGAGAGGGUGAUCGGCCGCACUGGAACUGAGACACGGUCCAGACUCCUACGGGAGGCAGCAGUAGGGAAUCUUCCGCAAUGGGCGAAAGCCUGACGGAGCGACGCCGCGUGAGUGAUGAAGGUCUUCGGAUCGUAAAACUCUGUUAUUAGGGAAGAACAUAUGUGUAAGUAACUGUGCACAUCUUGACGGUACCUAAUCAGAAAGCCACGGCUAACUACGUG
This 497-nucleotide ribosomal RNA is filed under the name uncultured bacterium. RNAcentral's name for it is "partial 16S ribosomal RNA". It matches the Rfam family "Bacterial small subunit ribosomal RNA", at positions 28 to 507 of the family's 1533-position model. The record is from RNAcentral.